UCGAGUCUUCGGCUGUGCAGCGGAAAGUUUAGUGAACCUUAUCACUUAGAGGAAGGAGAAGUCGUAACAAGGUUUCCGUAGGUGAACCUGCGGAAGGAUCAUUC
This 104-nucleotide ribosomal RNA is filed under the name Blastodinium spinulosum. Its description in RNAcentral is "partial 18S ribosomal RNA". It matches the Rfam family "Eukaryotic small subunit ribosomal RNA", at positions 1726 to 1831 of the family's 1831-position model. Lineage: Eukaryota; Dinophyceae; Blastodiniales. The record is from RNAcentral.